UAUUGUUGGUGCACUGGGCGCGGCGCGCCGCCUCGCGUGCGGCCUGGACGGCGGGCAGCAGCAGGGCGAUCAGGACGCCGAUGAUGGC
RNAcentral lists this transfer RNA (88 nucleotides) under Tautonia plasticadhaerens. RNAcentral's name for it is "Planctomycetes bacterium ElP tRNA-Ala". The record is from RNAcentral. Lineage: Bacteria; Pseudomonadati; Planctomycetota; Planctomycetia; Isosphaerales; Isosphaeraceae.